RNAcentral lists this ribosomal RNA (762 nucleotides) under Wetmoreana sp. 52 UA-2013. RNAcentral describes it as "LSU rRNA". It matches the Rfam family "Eukaryotic large subunit ribosomal RNA", at positions 165 to 944 of the family's 3401-position model. Lineage: Eukaryota; Fungi; Ascomycota; Lecanoromycetes; Teloschistales; Teloschistaceae. The record is from RNAcentral.
CGGGCGCGGCGCCGGUCUAAGUCCCUUGGAACGGGGCGUCAUAGAGGGUGAGAAUCCCGUAUGCGACCGGUGACCAAGCCCGUGUGAAACUCCUUCGACGAGUCGAGUUGUUUGGGAAUGCAGCUCAAAAUGGGUGGUAAAUUUCAUCUAAAGCUAAAUACUGGCCAGAGACCGAUAGCGCACAAGUAGAGUGAUCGAAAGAUGAAAAGCACUUUGGAAAGAGAGUCAAAAAGUACGUGAAAUUGUUGAAAGGGAAGCGCUUGCAACCAGACCUGCCCGCGAGUGAUCAGCCGUCCUUCUGGGCGGUGUAUGCACCCGCGAUCAGGCCAGCAUCGGUUCGAGCGGCCGGAUAAAGGCCUUGGGAAUGUAGCUCCCUUCGGGGAGUGUUAUAGCCCUCGGUGCAAUGCGGCCAGCCCGGACCGAGGACCGCGCUUCGGCAAGGAUGCUGGCGUAAUGGUUGUAAGCGGCCCGUCUUGAAACACGGACCAAGGAGUCUAACAUCUAUGCAAGUGUUUGGGUGUCAAACCCAGGCGCGCAAUGAAAGUGAACGGAGGUGGGAACCCCUCGAGGGCGCACCAUCGACCGAUCCAGAUGUCUUCGGAUGGAUUUGAGUACGAGCAUAGCUGUUGGGACCCGAAAGAUGGUGAACUAUGCCUGAAUAGGGUGAAGCCAGAGGAAACUCUGGUGGAGGCUCGCAGCGGUUCUGACGUGCAAAUCGAUCGUCAAAUUUGGGUAUAGGGGCGAAAGACUAAUCGAACCAUC